GACAGAGGUCCCGAGCGUUAGGCGGAAUCACUGGGCUUAAAGCGUGUGUAGGCGGAUGCCUAAGUACCUUGUGAAAUCCCACGGCUCACCCGUGGAACUGCUUGGUAUACUGGGUGUCUUGAGCCACUUAGGGGCUACCGGAACAAAUGGUGGAGCGGUGAAAUGCGUAGAUAUCAUUUGGAACGCCAAUGGUGAAAACAGGUAGCUGGGAGUGUGCUGACGCUGAGACACGAAGGCCAGGGGAGCAAACGGG
Molecule: ribosomal RNA, 253 nt
Filed under: uncultured bacterium
Lineage: Bacteria
Description: partial 16S ribosomal RNA
Rfam family: Bacterial small subunit ribosomal RNA
Source: RNAcentral